Molecule: ribosomal RNA, 375 nt
Filed under: uncultured organism
Description: partial 16S ribosomal RNA
Rfam family: Bacterial small subunit ribosomal RNA
Source: RNAcentral
GAGGGGUGCAAACGUUAUUCGGAAUCAUUGGGCGUAAAGGGUGCGUAGACGGCAUGUUAAGUCAACUGUUAAAUACUCCGGCUCAACUGGAGAUCAGCGGUAGAUACUGGCAUGAUAGAGGGUGGAAGAGAGAAGUGGAAUUCUCGGAGUAGCGGUAAAAUGCGUAGAUCUCGAGAGGAACACCAAUGGCGAAGGCAGCUUCUUGGUCCAUUUCUGACGUUGAGGCACGAAAGCGUGGGGGGGAGCAAACAGGAUUAGAUACCCUGGUAGUCCACGCCCUAAACGAUGAUCACUAGAUGUUGGCUCUGCUUGCAGAGGCAGUAUCGUAGCUAACGCGUUAAGUGAUCCGCCUGGGGACUACGAUCGCAAGAUUAA